RNAcentral lists this long non-coding RNA (286 nucleotides) under Prunus persica (peach). Its description in RNAcentral is "long non-coding RNA (PPER_LNC006088)". Lineage: Eukaryota; Viridiplantae; Streptophyta; Magnoliopsida; Rosales; Rosaceae. The record is from RNAcentral.
CGGGUUUUGAGAUUGAGCUUGAAAUACUUGAAUCUUGAUGGGUUUUGGCUGUGAAUGUGUGAGUUUUGUUGGCUAUUUAACAUUUUAUUAUUCAAUUAGAUUUUGAUUUAAUUUGAAUUGAUUGCUUGACCUUUUUGUUAAAUAAUGUUUUGUGUUGUAAAAGAAUAAAAUAUAAACCUGUGGAGCCCACUAACUAUUCAUUACUGUUCAUUACUGUUCAUUUGGCGGCUUUGAUAGAAUUUGUCUGUCACGGGUGACUAUUCAUUACUGUUCAUUACUGUUCAUU